CAGUCGACGGUUAAGCAUCUUCGGAUGUGUAUAAAGUGGCGAACGGCUGAGUAACACGUGGGCAACCUGCCAUUUGCACUGGGAUAGCCUCGGGAAACCGAGGUUAAUACCGGAUACUCCAUAUUUGUCGCAUGGCGAAUAUGGGAAAGCUCCGGCGGCAAAGGAUGGGCCCGCGGCCUGUUAGCUAGUUGGUGGGGUAGUGACCUACCAAGGCAAUGAUGGGUAGCCGGGUUGAGAGACCAACCGGCCAGAUUGGGACUGAGACACGGCCCAGACUCCUACGGGAGGCAGCAGUGGGGAAUCUUGCACAAUGGGCGAAAGCCUGAUGCAGCGACGCCGCGUGCGGGAUGAAGGCCUUCGGGUUGUAAACCGCUUUCAGCAGGGACGAGGCCGCAAGGUGACGGUACCUGCAGAAGAAGCCCCGGCUAACUACGUGCCAGCAGCCGCGGUAAUACGUAGGGGGCAAGCGUUAUCCGGAUUCAUUGGGCGUAAAGCGCGCGUAGGCGGUCUGUUAGGUCAGGAGUUAAAUCUGGGGGCUCAACCCCUAUCCGCUCCUGAUACCGGCAGGCUUGAGUCUGGUAGGGGAAGAUGGAAUUCCAAGUGUAGCGGUGAAAUGCGCAGAUAUUUGGAAGAACACCGGUGGCGAAGGCGGUCUUCUGGGCCAUGACUGACGCUGAGGCGCGAAAGCUAGGGGAGCGAACAGGAUUAGAUACCCUGGUAGUCCUAGCUGUAAACGAUGGACACUAGGUGUGGGGAGAUUAUACUUUCCGUGCCGCAGCUAACGCAUUAAGUGUCCCGCCUGGGGAGUACGGUCGCAAGACUAAAACUCAAAGGAAUUGACGGGGGCC
RNAcentral lists this ribosomal RNA (848 nucleotides) under uncultured bacterium. Its description in RNAcentral is "bacterial SSU rRNA". It matches the Rfam family "Bacterial small subunit ribosomal RNA", at positions 59 to 921 of the family's 1533-position model. The record is from RNAcentral.